This 245-nucleotide ribosomal RNA is filed under the name uncultured Anaerobacterium sp. RNAcentral's name for it is "partial 16S ribosomal RNA". It matches the Rfam family "Bacterial small subunit ribosomal RNA", at positions 524 to 768 of the family's 1533-position model. Lineage: Bacteria; Bacillati; Bacillota; Clostridia; Eubacteriales; Oscillospiraceae. The record is from RNAcentral.
UACGUAGGUGGCGAGCGUUGUCCGGAAUUACUGGGUGUAAAGGGCGUGUAGGCGGGAAGAUAAGUCAGAUGUGAAAUUCCGCGGCUUAACUGCGGAGCUGCAACUGAAACUAUCUUUCUUGAGUGCUGGAGAGGGAAGCGGAAUUCCUAGUGUAGCGGUGAAAUGCGUAGAUAUUAGGAGGAACACCAGUGGCGAAGGCGGCUUUCUGGACAGUAACUGACGCUGAGGCGCGAAAGCGUGGGGAG